CGCAAGAUUAAAACUCAAAUGAAUUGACGGGGGCCCGCACAAGCGGUGGAGCAUGUGGUUUAAUUCGAUGCAACGCGAAGAACCUUACCUACUCUUGACAUCCAGAGAACUUUCCAGAGAUGGAUUGGUGCCUUCGGGAACUCUGAGACAGGUGCUGCAUGGCUGUCGUCAGCUCGUGUUGUGAAAUGUUGGGUUAAGUCCCGCAACGAGCGCAACCCUUAUCCUUGUUUGCCAGCGAGUAAUGUCGGGAACUCCAGGGAGACUGCCGGUGAUAAACCGGAGGAAGGUGGGGACGACGUCAAGUCAUCAUGGCCCUUACGAGUAGGGCUACACACGUGCUACAAUGGCGCAUACAGAGGGCAGCCAACUUGCGAAAGUGAGCGAAUCCCAAAAAGUGCGUCGUAGUCCGGAUUGGAGUCUGCAACUCGACUCCAUGAAGUCGGAAUCGCUAGUAAUCGUGGAUCAGAAUGCCACGGUGAAUACGUUCCCGGGCCUUGUACACACCGCCCGUCACACCAUGGGAGUGGGCUGCAAAAGAAGUAGGUAGUUUAACCUUCGGGGGGACGCUUA
This 570-nucleotide ribosomal RNA is filed under the name Vibrio sp. RNAcentral's name for it is "bacterial SSU rRNA". It matches the Rfam family "Bacterial small subunit ribosomal RNA", at positions 887 to 1456 of the family's 1533-position model. The record is from RNAcentral. Lineage: Bacteria; Pseudomonadati; Pseudomonadota; Gammaproteobacteria; Vibrionales; Vibrionaceae.